UACGUAGGGGGCAAGCGUUGUCCGGAAUCAUUGGGCGUAAAGCGCGUGUAGGCGGAUCGGUAAGUCUGUUCUGAAAGCCCGGGGCUCAACCCCGGGAGGCGGAUGGAUACUGCCGAUCUCGAGUCCGGAAGAGGCGAGUGGAAUUCCUGGUGUAGCGGUGAAAUGCGCAGAUAUCAGGAGGAACACCAAUGGCGAAGGCAGCUCGCUGGGACGUGACUGACGCUGAGACGCGAAAGCGUGGGGAGCAAACAGG
This 253-nucleotide ribosomal RNA is filed under the name uncultured bacterium. RNAcentral describes it as "partial 16S ribosomal RNA". It matches the Rfam family "Bacterial small subunit ribosomal RNA", at positions 524 to 776 of the family's 1533-position model. The record is from RNAcentral.